Molecule: transfer RNA, 73 nt
Rfam family: tRNA
About the family: Transfer RNA (tRNA) molecules are approximately 80 nucleotides in length. Their secondary structure includes four short double-helical elements and three loops (D, anti-codon, and T loops).
Source: Rfam
GGAAGAUUAGCUCAGCUGGGAGAGCAUCUGCCUUACAAGCAGGAGGUCACAGGUUCGAUCCCUGUAUCUUCCA